GCAAAUUCAUAAACAACGGUACAAAUUGUUAUUUCAAAUAUGCAAUUUACAGUUAUUUACACAUAUAUUCUUCUUAAAUCACGUAUUUGUCUUUUUACGUCGAUGUGACGUUAUUGCGAUCAGAUGAAUAAUUUGCUAACAAUAUAUUGUAGCGUGCACGGGGGAAGGCAGCAGCAGGACUGGUAGAUGACGUACUCGCACACAGGGUGCGUUCACGAGAGGCAGGCUUUGUUAAACUUGUAGGAACAUAAAGGUUUAGAAUGUGUGCACCAGGGAAUGUUCUUUGGGGUGAUCACCGCGAUGGAGGCAUAGAAUAUAUUUUGACAACCUCUUAAGACUUUUCGGUUUUCAUGUCGCAAUAUCCAUUUUGAACACUUGGUAUAAGCGGGCUGAAAUGUUGCGAAUUUUAUUAGAAGGGGUUGUCGGUAAAUAGCGAGUGUCUGGCUUUCGAUUUACAGUGACCGAAAUUAAUCGAGUCGUCACUGGGCAAUGCAAUAAACCGUGCGUCAGUACUUUAAAUUGGUCCCCUAAAUCAGUUCCUAGUAUUUAACCAAUUUAAACGACGAUUGCGAGUACUGUACAGACAUGGCUGUCAUGAUUUGUAGAUUGAUGAGAGUUUUUCUAAAAUUUCCCCCACAUUCACAGACACUAAAGUAGUUUCUUUUUGUUUUUUUGAUUUUUUUUUCCAACCAGAGAAAUCUCAGAAAUCCCCAUAAGUUCAAAUAGAUAACGUUUUUUUUUUUAAAUAGGCUAUUGCACCCGUAACCUUCCUGAACAGUACGCUACAUACAAUUGGUAUGCUGAUAUAUACAGUGCCGUGAAAAAGUAUUUGCCCCCUGUCUGAUUUUCUGCAUUUUUGCAUAUUUUUGACACUGAAUGUUAUCAGAUCUUCAACCAAAACCUAAUAUUAGAUAAAAGGGACCCUGAGUGAACAAAUAACACAAAAAUUUGAUACAUAUUUCAUUUAUUUAUUAAAGAAAGUUAUGCGACACCCAAUGCCCCCGUGUGAAAAAGUAAUCGCCCCCUUAGACUCAAUGACUGGUUACGCCACCUUUAGCAGCAAUAACUGCAACCAAACGCUUCCUGUAGUUAUUGAUUAGUCUCUCACAGCACCGUGGAGGAAUUUUGGCCCACUCCUCCAUGCAGAACUGCUUCAACUCUGACAUUUGUGGGUUUUCGAGCAUGAACUGCUCGUUUCAGGUCCUGCCACAACAUCUCAAUGGGGUUUAGGUCUAGACUUUGACUAGGCCAUUCCAAAACUUUAAAUUUCUUGUUCUUCAACCAUUCUGAUGUAGACUUGCUUGUGUGUUUCGGAUCAUUGUCUUGCUGCAUGACCCAGCUGCGCUUCAGCUUCAGCUCACGGACGGAUGGCCUAACAUUCUCCUGUAGAAUUCUCUGAUACAGAGCAGAAUUCAUGGUUCCUUCAAUGAGGGCAAGGCGUCCAGGUCCUGAUGCAGCAAAGGUUCCCCAAACCAUGACACUACCACCACCAUGUUUGAUCAUUGAGGUUCUUACUGUGGAAUGCAGUGUUUGGUUUUCACCAGACAUAACGGGGUGCAUGUCGGCCAAAAAGUUCCACUUUUGACUCAUCUGUCCAUAGAACAUUGUUCCAGAACUCUUGAGGAUCAUCCAGGUGCUUUUUGGCAAACUUGAGACAAGCAUUCAUGUUCUUCUUAGUGAGCAAUGGUUUCCGCCUUGCUGCUCUGCCAUGAAUCCCAUUUUUUCCCAGUGUCUUUCUGAUGGUGGUCAUAAACACUGACCUUAGCUGAGGCGAGAGAGGCCUGCAGAUCCCUGGAUGUUGUUAUAGGGUUCUUUGUGACUUCCUGGACGAUUUUACGCCUUGCUCUUGGAGAGAUUUUGGCAGGACGGCCACUCCUGGGUAGAUUCACUACUAUCCCAAACUUUCUCCAUUUGGACAAUACGGCUCUGACUGUGGUUCGGUGGAGCCCCAGAGCCUUAGAAAUGGCUUUGUAACCCUUUCCAGACUGAUAGGCAUCAACAACCUUUUUCCGGAGGUCUUCAGGAAUUUCUUUUGUUCGUGGCAUGAUGUGCCUCUAGAACCUGUGUGCUGACAACUUCACUCUGAUGGUAAGGGCCAAAGUUAGUCAGAUUUAUAUUGGGCAGGGCUGGCCCAAAUCAGGCCUGGUUGUUAACCAAAGUACUCUAGCUGACCCUAAUUAUCCCUAAAUAACUUUUUCACACCUGAAGAUUGCAUGUUUGAUUACCUUGCACACCAAACAAAUGAAAGAACUGGGGGGGGGGGGGGAUCAGAAGAGAAUAGAAGAAUCUAUAGAGUGGAAAAAAAAAACUACUGUGAUACAUGAUGACGUAAUCUAAGCUGAUGCAACAACCAUUCUUACACACCCAAAAACCAAAUGCAACAAACAAGGCAGUCAACCUACAACCUACAAAAAUCUAGAAAAAAACAGAUCAUCUGUAUAAAGCUGUUGUCGUAAGAUGUGCUUUAAAACACAAGAAUAGUUUUCGAAACAAGCAUCCUGUAUAACUGAGAAAAAAUAAAGUGGGAUGGGCUUGUUAAAGUAGCAUAUCUGAACACUGGUCUCUUAUCAGUUCCUAAUUAACAUUACUUGAAAGCAAACCUCUUAUUCUGAAACAACUACACCAGAUUACUGAAAAAGAAAGUAAGGUCUGAAAGGGGAAGUAAAAGAAGGGGAAGUAAAACCUUAAAUUGUCAGUUUUUCAGCUUCUCAUUACUUUUUUUUAAUGUUUCAAAUGUUUUAAAUAUGAUACAGCAUAUUCUGUUAUUUUUUACAUUUGGUUCUGCACUUGGAGAAAAAUAUGUACUGUGUUCUACAGAAGAGCUUGAUACAUGGUACUCUUUUAGUGGUGGAUUUGAUCAGAUGCUUCUUACAGUAUUGCCCUGCCAAUAUAAUGGUAUAGGAGAGUGGGAAAUAAAAUUCUCAGGGAUUCCAUGUAAGCUAUUUAACCUUUUUUUUAAAAAAAUAUAAUUUAACCCAUUUAAUUACCACUUAUACAUGUUGUUUAUUUCUUAGAUUCUCUUAAUUUAUUAUACAGGACUAAUCAGACAACCUUUUAAUAAAUUCCAGUCAUUAAUGUAACUUUUUGAGGAUCAUGGUCUCCAACUUCAGGUAGUUCAGUUUGCCAUGUUAAAUUUGAGUCCAAAUGUUUUUACUGCUACACUGUGGCAAUAACUACAUCCUAGGUUCUAAUAAACCACCUUCCUAUGAAAGUAGUUAACAAAAUAAUUCCAUUAAUAUUCUGUUUUACAUUUCCAUUAGCUACAUCAGUCUCAGAUGUGCAGUUUUGAAAGAAACACAUUAUAGCAAACAAAUAUUUUUAUUUUAAAACAUUAUAUAGGUUCUACUUUAAGUUAAAGAAAGUUCUCAGUUUUAAAGCCUUAUUUACAGGAUAUCUGUUUUGCUUGCACUUCCUAGGUCAUUUUAACUGUGUCUUCUGGCCAAAGCACGUUACUGGCUGAAAGCAUGUCGGUAAACAAGGAAAUCGGUUGGUUAAUGACAAGACAUAAUCCAUUGAAUCUUCAUUUGAAAAUGCAAGUUUUCUAUAAUGACCAGACAGUGGCUGAGAAAAACAUUGACUGGUGCAUAGAGGAGGAUCAAAGAGAACAAAUCUGUGGGACUAUAAAAGGAGAACAUUUUAAUUACGAAGCAAAAAUAAGGACUGCAGAAUAUUACCUCUCACCAGGCCUUUAUGAAAUUUCUAUGCAUUUGUUUUCUGGUUUUGAUAUCCAGCAAGAACUGAUUCUACAUGCCAAUUUGACACUUUUAAUAAAAUAAAAGGGCACUGUAUGAGAGAUGGAAGGAAGACUUGUUUUUCAUUAUUUAAAAAAGUUUAAAAUAGAUCAGAUACACAGCAUAGCUAAACCUCUUCAUACAAAAGGACUGCCACCCCAGCACUUCACAGUGUGAUGGGAGAAUGUAUUAUUUAAUGAAGUUCUUAACUAAAGUUCGGGAGGAGCGUCAGACACCAAUCUCCUCGUCACCAAAUUGAAUCAUUCAAUUUACACAUUAGCUAAUUAAGAGUGUUAGCACUAUAAAUACCCUUUUCACUUACCUCUCAGUUGCAUUUCGAUUUCAUCGUAACCCACCACCUCCCCAUCUCCACCUUUCUUAAAAACAAUUUUAGGUUUUGUCAAUGGGGGUCUCCGCCUCGUCCAGUUGGCCAGGCAGCGAGCCCUCAAACCAAGUUAGGUUUGAGGCCAAAUUAAUGUGUAUAUACAACAUACUUCUCUGUAAAAUCGCUUACUCCGCAUUCUCCACAAUAAAUAUUUGUACUAAAA
Acipenser ruthenus (sterlet) is the source of this 4279-nucleotide long non-coding RNA. RefSeq lists it as uncharacterized. The record is from RefSeq and is a predicted model, not a curated record. The transcript has 4 exons. NCBI's taxonomy places the organism in Eukaryota, Metazoa, Chordata, Actinopteri, Acipenseriformes, Acipenseridae.